Long non-coding RNA from Drosophila willistoni, 1234 nucleotides. RefSeq lists it as uncharacterized. Lineage: Eukaryota; Metazoa; Arthropoda; Insecta; Diptera; Drosophilidae. The record is from RefSeq and is a predicted model, not a curated record. The transcript is spliced from 2 exons.
UUUUCUAUAUUUCUAUUGAGAUAUUUGUGAAAAGAAGUAGGAAUUUUGAUUGAUGGUUAUAUAGUGGUCCGAUCUGACAAAUUGUGAAACUUGAUCUCAAUGAGUUCAAAAAGGCUUAAUCUCCAAGUUUUAUUUUAGUAGUUUUCUAAUUGAGACAGACGGACAUGACUAUAUCGAUUCGGAUUCCCACGCUGAGCAACGCGGCAAUCAAUCAAAUUCUCUCUUUCAUCGAUCGUUCCUAUAGACGCUAUAUGCAUAUAGUAGUUCGGUCUUAAUGAAUUGACACUUGACUGUGUGGUAAACUAUUUUUCGAUAAAAAAAAUUUGAAAAACACGCCUUGUUUAUUCUGUCAAUUUGAACAAAAAGCAAGCAAUACGAAUUUGGGACAUUUAGUUCAGUUUUUUUAGUUUUUUAGGGAAGGCAGACCAGUUAGGAUAGGUCAUUUUUACUUUAAAUUUGUUUUAGAUGUUAUUAGAAGUAAAAAAAAAACAAAAUACAAAAAUGAAGAUCUAAUUUUGGCUUGUUGUGAAAUUCAAAAUUAAAGAGUUGACUUCUUGCAACCUCCAGCGAUGUCCCAUGCUAAGAAUUCCUGGCGACGUACGUAAGCAGCACAGGACGGCUUGCCUUUACAGAAAGAGCCAAUCAAAUGAAUAAUGAAGACAAGGAUGCCCACUUGACAUUGAACAGCCAUUCGAGAGAUGGUCUAUUCGAGGAUCAAAAACAUGGCUCCUUCAUAUGCGGCAAUAAAUAUCGAGGGUCUCCUUAAUUAUCUGGGCAAAAAGGAGGGUUGGGAGAAUAGCAAAGCCUUCCAUUCUCUGGCCGACAAAGGACCCUUCUCAACUAUUGCUGACUAUUGUGACUAUUAUGGUUACAGUUCCGGAAAAUCAGAAGCGCAUGGAUAUUGAAGACGAGGCGGUACCUGAAUUGAGUGAUGGAAUAUCAACUGCUCUUCAGAAAUCUGACCAAAAAUUGCAUCAUGUGGUUAGCGAGCAGCGUGAGCCAACGGCUCCUAAGGCACCCAAUCUACAUCUAAUGAAGUGGGUCUAGUCCGAAAAGCAGGAAGUGGGUCUAGUCCGAAAAGCAGAAGCAUUGUGGAGCUCAGAUUUAGAUACAUUGGACGACCGACGAGCCAGUCUAUUCCAGUUUUAUAAUCGCCGUUUGUUAGAAGCAAAAACCAAAAAACUUGCAGUUUAAAUAAAAAGCCACGCAAGCCAUUUAGACACUUCAAAGUCAA